Molecule: ribosomal RNA, 465 nt
Filed under: uncultured bacterium
Lineage: Bacteria
Description: partial 16S ribosomal RNA
Rfam family: Bacterial small subunit ribosomal RNA
Source: RNAcentral
CCUACGGGAGGCAGCAGUAGGGAAUCUUCCGCAAUGGACGAAAGUCUGACCGAGCAACGCCGCGUGAGUGAAGAAGGUUUUCGGAUCGUAAAACUCUGUUGGUAGAGAAGAACGUUGGUGAGAGUGGAAAGCUCAUCAAGUGACGGUAACUACCCAGAAAGCGACGGCUAACAACGUGCCAGCAGCCGCGGUAAUCCGUAGGUGCCGAGUGUGGUCGGGAUUUAUUGGGCGUAAAGCGAGCGCAGGUGGUUUAUUAAGUCUGGUGUAAAAGGCAGUGGUUCAACCAUGGUAUGCAUUGGAAACUGGUAGACUUGAGUGCAGGAGAGGAGAGUGGAAGUCCAUGUGUAGCGGUGAAAUGCGUAGAUAUAUGGAGGAACACCGGUGGCGAAAGCGGCUCUCUGGCCUGUAACUGACACUGAGGCUCGAAAGCGUGGGGAGCAAACAGGAUUAGAUACCCUGGUAGUC